RNAcentral lists this ribosomal RNA (468 nucleotides) under uncultured bacterium. Its description in RNAcentral is "partial 16S ribosomal RNA". It matches the Rfam family "Bacterial small subunit ribosomal RNA", at positions 28 to 507 of the family's 1533-position model. The record is from RNAcentral.
GACGAACGCUGGCGGCGUGCUUAACACAUGCAAGUCGAACGGAAAGGCCCUGCUUUUGUGGGGUGCCCGAGUGGCGAACGGGGGGGUAACACCUGAGUAACCUGCCCUUGACUUUGGGAUUACUUCAGGAAACUGGGGCUAAUUCCGGGUAAGAGCUCCUGCUGCAUGGUGGGGGGUGGAAAGUUUCGGCGGUUGGGGAUGGACUCGCGGCUUAUCAGCUUGUUGGUGGGGUAGUGGCUUACCAAGGCUUUGACGGGUAGCCGGCCUGAGAGGGUGACCGGCCACAUUGGGACUGAGAUACGGCCCAGACUCCUACGGGAGGCAGCAGUGGGGAAUAUUGCACAAUGGGCGGAAGCCUGAUGCAGCAACGCCGCGUGCGGGAUGACGGCCUUCGGGUUGUAAACCGCUUUCGCCUGUGACGAAGCGUGAGUGACGGUAAUGGGUAAAGAAGCACCGGCUAACUACGUG